AGGGAGAUGGCUCAGUUGGUAGAGCACAGGACUUGCAUUCCUGAGGUUUCUUCUGG
RNAcentral lists this transfer RNA (56 nucleotides) under Erinaceus europaeus (western European hedgehog). It matches the Rfam family "tRNA", at positions 1 to 51 of the family's 71-position model. From Rfam's summary of the family: Transfer RNA (tRNA) molecules are approximately 80 nucleotides in length. Their secondary structure includes four short double-helical elements and three loops (D, anti-codon, and T loops). Lineage: Eukaryota; Metazoa; Chordata; Mammalia; Eulipotyphla; Erinaceidae. The record is from Rfam by way of RNAcentral.